Molecule: ribosomal RNA, 816 nt
Filed under: Plagiochila gigantea
Lineage: Eukaryota; Viridiplantae; Streptophyta; Jungermanniopsida; Jungermanniales; Plagiochilaceae
Description: eukaryotic LSU rRNA
Rfam family: 5.8S ribosomal RNA (bases 362-515)
Source: RNAcentral
UGUACACACAAUGCAGCAAACCAGAGAACUGUUGUUGUCCCCCGAGGGGCCUCACCCGGAGGUGGGGCCGCUGAUGGCAUGGCACGGCUGAGAGGCCGGCCCCGUGGGCGUAGCGGGGAUCAUCGCCGUCGGUUGGAGUGUCCCAUUGUCGUGGCUUCGGUCAUAUGAUGUUGACACCCCUUAGUGGGAGUUGGCGUCUGCCGGUCGGGGUCGGGCACUCCCCUCCCCCUUUUUCCCCGUCUUUGGGGUCUCUGGGGCCGCUUUUUCACAAGGACCUUGAGGAACAUGAAUCUCAGAGACUGAGCUUGGGGCCCGUGUUGCCUUUGCAGGUGAUGCAGCCCGAGUCAAAAACCAAAAUAACGACUCUCAGCAACGGAUAUCUUGGCUCUUGCAACGAUGAAGAACGCAGCGAAAUGCGAUACCUAGUGUGAAUUGCAGAAUUCCGCGAAUCAUCGAGUCUUUGAACGCAAGUUGCGCCCGAGGCUUGUCCCGAGGGCAUGCCUGCCUGAGCGUCACCGCACUCUCACCUGGAUACUCUCCAGUGUGGAAUUGGCCGUCCGGGACCUGGCUUGAAGCUGCGCGUCUCGGUGGGCUGAAAUUUAGCUAUCUGGGUGCAGCCAAAGAGAGAGGCCGCGAGAAGGUGAUUUGCUCUUUGCUGAGCAAAGUCUAAUUGGACAGCGCCUCUCCCUUUUGGUGAUCCGGAUGGUGGCACUUCACGUGUCGUUGGGGAGUGCAGGUAAUGUUGCAUCUUCCCUCCCCUAUUAGCUUGGACCUCAGAUCAGGCAAGAUUACCCGCUGAGUUUAAGCAUAUCACUA